AUGCUCCUGCGCGCCAACCCGGCGGCGAUCCCGAUCCCCUCCUUCCCCACCUCGCCGGCGGCCGCCCGCGCCACCAGGUCCUUCCCCGCGGCUCGCUGCUCCGUGGGAAACCUCUCUCCCGUACGUUUCGAGCCACUUCGCGCCGACCCCGACCCCCUCUCCCAAAACGGCGUUGAUGUCCGCGCUGGCGCGGCCACCGCCGACGGCGAUGACCAAGACCAGCAGAAGAACGAAGACGAGGGGGGUGAGGAUGAGGGAAAGGGCAAGGGGAGCAAGCAGGAGGGCGUCUCCGGCAUCAGCGUGCCGCGCCAGCGCUACAUCGCCGUCCCCAAGGCCGCGCUCCUCGACGCCCUCCUCCCGCUCUUCCCCGCCCAAUCACCCGCCGCCGCCGACGAUUUCACGCGCUUCGCAAGGUGUUUGGACGCGGUACUACACGCCGAGCACAAGGAGACGCUCGAGGAGAUGCGCGCAUACUACAUGCUCCGGAGCCAGGAGGAAGAUGAGAACGGCCCGACCUCCACCGGCCCCAUCCGUGAUCAGGCAGCGGUGAACGGACUCUUCGGCAAGUCGGCGGACGACGAAAAUGGAGCGUCGUCGUUUCUGUUGAGAAGCCUGGACUGGAGGACUCUGCUCGGCUUAUCCCCGGAUCCUGUUGCUCCCACCAGGGUUGCUUUCGCGACUCAUUUCCAGCGCGCCUUCAUGAACCUGCUGCGCAACGCGCAGUUCGAGGAGCUCUCCGCGCAGGAUCUGCUCCUCACCUACUCCCUCAACAGCGAUUACCUCCUCACGCUGCCGGUCUACGUCGACUGGAAGAAGGCAGCCGAAUCGAAUGCCAUCAUAUUCCGGCGUGGGUAUGCGACCGAGAGCCAGAGAGGCCUGCUCUUGGUAGAGAAGCUUGAUUACCUGCAGUCAAAGCUGUUGCAGAAUAUUUUCUUCAGCCUUUCCAAACCCUUGGGGAAACUGGGGAAAUGGAUCAAUGAGGCAUUGAAGAGAUCAACAGGGAGCCAGGGAUUUCAGAUCUGGAUUGACAAAUUGAAGCUAUGGCUGAAACAGCAAACUUAUGCAGAGAAUUCACAUAUGCUGAUAGAAAACUAUUCUCAGGACAAUCUUGUAUCAGAUCAAUUACCAGAUGCAGAUCUUCCUAUUUGGAUUGCUGCACAAAGGGCAGUCUCUCGUUAUGAAGGAUUUCUGUCACCUGUAGGUCCUCGUGGCAGACUUUUAAGGAGGCUGCUUACGUGGACAGGACUAAUCCCAUCCCUUCCAGAAGCAACAGCAAAAUCUGAUGUUGAUACAGAACAACUUGAAGGCUAUGUGAGGCCAAAUUUUCUGCCUAGAAUUACGCUUGCAAAUAUAUGGGAGCCAGCAAGCAGAGAAUCUUGUGACAACAAUUUCUGGGAGAUACUGAAAGCUUCUUUUGCUAUUCUAUUUGCCAAGUCUACUCUGCAGGAACCAGCAUUCCAAGAACUGAUCAUACUUUAUUCUGAUGAUGAUGCUCAAAAUGCUGAGAGGGAUAAAUCUGAGAUGCUGCCACCACAGUUGAAAAUUUACGAGAAAAUACCCAUCCCAGAUCUGCCAGUGGUUUUUCCUCACAAGAAGUUGUCCUUCCGCAUCCUUGAUACUGUAAGGCUGGAUAUAGCUACCGUAGUAGGAUUGUUGGCAUAUGUUGUGAACUACAAAUUUGAGAGUUUAGCUUCAUCUCCGUCAGCUUUCCUUCUUGACGUAGCUGCUUUUACUGCACUUGCAAUACUUGUGUUUCGUGUGACGCUAGGCUACAAACAGACCAGGGAUAGAUACCAGCUUCUGGUCAACAAGACACUCUAUGAGAAGACAUUAGCAAGUGGCUUUGGUUCAGUUUACUUUCUUCUAGAUGCUUCCGAGCAACAACAGUAUAAAGAAGCACUAUUGGCGUAUGCUAUGUUACUCUGCAGAAAUAAGUAUCAGGUGUCAUCUCGCACAAGCAUAAGAGAUAGAUGCGAGCAGUUCAUGUAUGAGAAGUUUAAUGCGAAGAUUGAAAUGCCUAUCGACAAAGCUAUGGAUACGCUGUUGCGGUUGGGUCUGGUGAUCGAGCUGCCAAGUAACGGCAGCUCCUCUGUAAUAGCUCUUCCAUGUCCAGAUGCCUAUGACAUCCUGAGAAGUCGUUGGGACAGUCUGCUGGAACAUAGGACAGACCAAGGUAGAAAAUGUUGAUGGUUCCACGUAUAGCUCUUUGGUAGCGUCGAACGCUCUUGGAAGUAGAAGGGCUUGUCUAAAAAUUAUAUAUGUUGUAUGUUUUGCAGGGCGAUGAAACCUCGCCACAGAUCGGGCUUCAUUCCUACAGUUGGAAGCCGGAAUGACAGUUUUUUCUAAAAUAAACCGUAGUUUCUAAGCUACAUAUAUAGUAGUAUGCUACAGUUCUUCUUAAGAAAAUAUCUAAGAUUUAUCACUGGAAGCUUUAGGAUCAUAUAUAUGUAUAUAUAUAUGUUACGGAGUACAUUCUUUUCGUAAGUUUAAGCCUUAUCAUUGCAAUAAGGUGCUGCACAUGACGAUUGCCAGCAACCAAGGGUUGCAAAGCAUAGGAGAAUUAGAACAAUUCAUUAGUUAAGUAUACAGUGAUGACGCUCGUUCUUGUCUUGUGUUCCCAUCAGCCUUUAUAUUAUUGUGUGGACCAUUGUCUAACAGCUUACAACAAUGGCAUCAGGGCAUUAUCAGGCUUUUGUAUUGUGGAGGUCUGUAAUCUGGAGCCUAAAUAAGGUCUUGCGUUUCUGUCA
This is an RNA transcript of Lolium rigidum, 2747 nucleotides long. RefSeq lists it as uncharacterized. The transcript has 15 exons. Lineage: Eukaryota; Viridiplantae; Streptophyta; Magnoliopsida; Poales; Poaceae. The record is from RefSeq and is a predicted model, not a curated record.